CUCUGGGCCGCAGUGCCCAGGGGUGCAGGGGAUAUGGUAACUGGGAAACAUGGCCCCGAGCCCAGUUACUGCCCCUGUUAGUUAGGUAGUGAGGAUUCAGUAGUUUGCAAGACUUUGCCUGACACGGUGCCCGGGCGUGGUCUGGGCAGUGUCUUCGCAACAUCAACGAAGGCAUCUGGGGUUUUUCCUGUCGGUCAGCGGGUGACUCCUUCAUCCGUCGUCCCUCCGUCCCUGUGGCCAUCUUUUGUCGCGUGCCUACGCUGUGGACGUCAGGCUGGGGACACACAGGACCGACUGGACAAGUGGCAGAAGAGGGACUCGGACACAUGGUUCCUGAGAGAAGGUGGAUGUCAUUCUUAUCUUCGCCCCUCUACAGGGUCCCCCCCACCAUGGUGUCCGCCAUGACUGGGUCCCCUGGAGGAGUUUGGAGUUGCCCACACUGAGCCUCCAGGGAUUCAUCAGCUACAGUUCAGGUUUCCCUGCCCUGGAACAAGCUCCUGAGGUGAUUUCCACGGAUGCAUUUCUGCUCUGGCAAACCAUGGCCCCUGUCAUUGAUAGGCCAGCGC
Long non-coding RNA from Rhinopithecus roxellana (golden snub-nosed monkey), 566 nucleotides. RefSeq lists it as uncharacterized. NCBI's taxonomy places the organism in Eukaryota, Metazoa, Chordata, Mammalia, Primates, Cercopithecidae. The transcript is spliced from 3 exons. The record is from RefSeq and is a predicted model, not a curated record.